Molecule: transfer RNA, 65 nt
Filed under: Camelus bactrianus (Bactrian camel)
Lineage: Eukaryota; Metazoa; Chordata; Mammalia; Artiodactyla; Camelidae
Also listed under: 3 other names
Rfam family: tRNA
About the family: Transfer RNA (tRNA) molecules are approximately 80 nucleotides in length.
Source: Rfam by way of RNAcentral
GGUAUAGCUCAGUGGUAGAGUGCUUGCUUAGCAUGCACAAGGUCCUGGGUUCAAUCCCCAGUACC